RNAcentral lists this non-coding RNA (106 nucleotides) under chicken gut metagenome. RNAcentral's name for it is "SAM riboswitch (S box leader)". It matches the Rfam family "SAM riboswitch aptamer (S box leader)". Rfam says of the family: The SAM riboswitch is found upstream of a number of genes which code for proteins involved in methionine or cysteine biosynthesis in Gram-positive bacteria. The SAM riboswitch acts at the level of transcription termination control. The predicted structure consists of a complex stem-loop region followed by a single stem loop terminator region. The record is from RNAcentral.
CCUUAUUGAGAGCGGUGGAGGGACUAGGCCCAGUGAAACCCGGCAACCCCUGUACAUGGAGUAUGGAAGGUGCCAAAUCCUACAGAUUUUUAUCUGAAAGAUGAGG